Camellia sinensis is the source of this 1100-nucleotide non-coding RNA. The record is from RefSeq and is a predicted model, not a curated record. Lineage: Eukaryota; Viridiplantae; Streptophyta; Magnoliopsida; Ericales; Theaceae.
CCACACAUGGAGUCCAGAAAAUAUGUGGAUACUUGUUUUCAAUGCUCAACCCAACAGCUUUGUAAUUGGAUGCAUUAUCGAUGAUGCCAUGACAUUGAUGAGAGGACGUUAUUGCCUAGUUGACCACCCGUCGGAGAGCAAUGAAACCCCUUUCUUUUUCCAUGAAUCUCUGAUAGGUUGCAGCAGCCUAUUAACAUGCUCUUUUUCUUGGGAAAGCAAGUGGUACGUAGCCUAUCAUAUGGAGUGUAGCCUAUCAUAUGGAGUGUAACCUAUCAAGCUGUUGUUUGCUAAACUCUGAGAAUACUUUCGGAAGUAAGGUGACCUUGCCAGAUUGAAAGGUAAGCCACUUGCAUAGAACAUUCAUGCACAUUCGUUGUCAGCAAUAUCUCUCUGAGCAACAUUAAAUGACUUGUGCAAAGCACCUGGCAGAGCCAUUCCUUUGCGUUUUUUCUAUUGUAGGAAGUCUGAGCCUUCAGCUUCAACAUCAUCUCUUACGGAUUUCCAAGGUUCAACUCCAUGAUUUGGAAGCUUCACCGGAUGAGCUUUCACCUUUGUAUAUGACCCAGUUACUUUUUUGUUGCUAUAAUUACAAGACCAAGUUCUAUUUCCACCUCCACCUGAAGACACAUUGAAAACCUUCACAUGAUUCCACAAUGGCUUGUCAUCGAACUCUGCUCCAUGACAUGCUACUGGACGCAAGGUUUUCUUCUACUUGGCUGAAGAUUGGGAGGAAGACAUUGUCCCCCUAUAGAUGAAAUUAAUCUGUAAUGGAAGGAAGUUUUGAGAGAUUUUUUUUUUGGGCUAAAAGAUAUGGCCAAAGUCUCUGUUAUAUGCAGAUAAAACUAGUGGAAGGUGGAAAGGUACUUUUGGGAGUUGUUUCUCAGAAUGAUUAGAGGUUUGUGGCUGGCAAGUAAGGCUUCCAAAGGAAGGAAAGCAAUGAAGUCAUUUUGUUGAUGGAACAAACAUGUAGAUACAAUGAUUUUAUUUUAUUUUUUUAUAUUUGCAAGGCACAUUUAAUGUUAAUGUCAGUCACUGCUAAUGACAACUAAAGAAAUGAGUUUUUUAUAUUUGAAGUACUGUAUCAAAGAAAUGGCAACCAA